This 20134-nucleotide long non-coding RNA is filed under the name Citrus maxima (pomelo). RNAcentral's name for it is "long non-coding RNA (CMAX_LNC001716)". The record is from RNAcentral. Lineage: Eukaryota; Viridiplantae; Streptophyta; Magnoliopsida; Sapindales; Rutaceae.
UAGAGAACUUGAACCGUUGAUGCCUUAUCUAUACUCUGCAACGUCACAACUACCCACUUUGGCACCGUAGGCGACUUGAUCUCUAUAUAUCAUGCCAAAUCAGAAGCAAGAACUCGCUCAAGUACUUAUUUUUUAAUAUAGUGCACUCGAAGCUAGCAAAGAUCUUUUCUGACUUGAAGAAUAUGAAAACUCUUGCUGGCGCAGGUAUUUAGGCCUACUUCAGUUUCUUUUUUGAGAAGGGCCAACUUCAGUUGAAUAUCAUUUAUAAUUCUUUUUUUAAUAUAUGCAUUUAUGAAUAUAUUUUUCAAUAUAAAAUUUUUAGGUAUGAGCGAUCCGUCAGAAGGUUUGGUACUCCCUUCUAGUAUUGCUGAUGAUGAUGUUGGAAAUGACAAUCUUGAUCUUAUUGUUAUUCCUCAAUAUGGGAGAAAUCCUGAUUAUUAUGGGUAAGUGUCUGCAAUCUGGAUGAUGAUAUAUGUAAUUAAAUAAAAGGAUGGGUACAGUUAUUACCUAUCAAUCAUAAGAGUGUCAAUUUAGUUCAGUUCACUAAUAAAAAUCUCUUAUACAAGAGAUUAUCUUUGUUUGCGUUCAUGUACUUUGUCUUCUUUAAUUAAUAAAUAAAAUUAUUGUGUAUCAAUGUGUUGAUUAAAUUAGUCCAUUAAUAGAUAUAAAAUCAUUUGAAUUUGUCCACAUAUUAGUUUAGUUAAUUGUGCUCUCUUUCUUCUUGAAUAUUUGUCAAACAAAGUCUACCUAUUAGUUAGCUAAUAAUCGCAGCUCGCAGGGAACCAAGAUCUUUAUAAUUAAUUACGAACGUUUAUGCUUCUUAAAUGGCUUGUGUCAUCGUGAUAAUGCCAUUACAACCUGUUAUAUAUAUAUAUAUAUAUAUAUAUAUUCAAAAGCAUUCCAACUCUAUGAACCUUCUAUUACACAAUUUUCAAAUGGUAUAAACAUCUAUUUUAAUUAGAGUAAAAUGUUGCUUGUUAGAAUGGCCCGUGAGUCAAUCUAAUUUGCGCUGGGACAAAUUAAUAGAACUUUAAAACUUUUCGACGGGUUUUGAUAAGACUUUAACUUGUCAAACCGUGGGUUGCUGUACGACGGGACUUGAAAAAAAACAUGUUGAGUUCUUUAUAAUUAAUGUUUAAAAUAUUUCAUUAAUUUUAGAGAAUAUUAAAAUAAAAAAUAAGUAAAUUCACGUUGAUCGAGAAAAAUACUGAAAUAUCGAUGCGUGUUUAGGACGAUAUAGAGGAUCUAUUUGAUCACAUUUAAUUCGCAUGCAACAGUAAUUCUGUCACAUUCUAUCACAGAUUCACGAAAGCUUCUCAUCAAAGUAUAGAAACAGAAAACUGUAAAAUUUAACGGGGGAAAACCUAUUAAACAAGAAAACAAAGCAGCCCCUCCGUACUGUGAAAUUACUUGCAAGCCAGUUGCGGUUGAGUUUGGGAAUGAGGGGCUGAGUUUGAGAUAAAUGGAGGGGAGAUAAGUUUGACUAAAAGGGGAUUCACAGGAAGACUUUAAGGGAGAAGAGACGAGUUUGAGAAAAAUUAGGAUAGAGAUUUAGAGGAGAUGAUUUGGGGUCUCAAAUUAACUAAUCCAUUCUUACAAUCACACAAACCGAUGGAAACCCAUUCAGAUUUUGAAAUAAUGAUGGUGACAUUAGUAGCUUAAGCCAAAACAUAAUUUAAAAAUAACAUAUAUAUAUAUAUAUAUAUAUAUAUAUAUAUAUAUAUAUAGUCAUUCUCUAGUGUAGGUAUCUUCAUUUAUUUUUCAUGCGAACACAUUUUAAAACCGCGGAGUUUAAGAGAGUUAGUUUUUAACUCUUUAAAACCGCAUAGUUUAAAAGUUUAUCCGUAUUAAAAAAAAUACGGGCGUCCGCACCUGAGAAUGAUUUUAUAUACACACACGUAUAAAGUAAUUUUUUAAUUGUGAAUUAUCAACCAUAUUAAAGUCAAGAGAAAGUUUAUAAAAAAAACCACCGACGCUAAUACAACGUAUUUUGUUGUGUAAUGUUUUGAAAUAUUCCUGCAAAUAAAUGGAUACUGAAAAUGAUCAUAUUAUUUUUAGUGAUUAAUGAUUCUUAUCGAGUAGAUUCCUGAUCUAUGAAAUGACUUACAUGAGCAUAUUCACCCUUUGGGAGUGGGAAACAAGUAAAAUUAUGUGUGCUAGAGGAGCCAAUAUCGAAGAGUUUAAGUCUAUGCUUCUCGUAAUCAAUUUCCAUAUCAAAACAAAAUGGAGUUGAUGAUAAUCUUGAUUUUACUAAAAAAAAAAAGGAAUAAUAGAUGUCUCAUUAGAAAAUAUUAAUGUGCCAUAUAUAUAAUAGUUCAAUCAUGUAAAAAUACUUGAAAAAUUAAUCUUGAGAAUGCAAAAUAAGAACUAUAGCAAGCACCUCUACAGGCAUAAAUUAAAAGAAUUGCAACGUGUACAUGAAGACUGCUAGACAUAGAAAAAAGUGAUAAAAAAAAAAACUGAUAUAUGAUAAAGAGCAUAAUAGAGAUAGUUGUUAUUAGGGAUGGUAAAAUUCUCCAUGGGUUGGGGUUCUCUAGGGCUCCAUGAUACAAACUCUUAAAAUAAUUAAAAUUAUUUAUUUUAUUUUAUGGUAUUAGUUAAUUUUGAACUAGUCAAAAGUAGUUGCACUUAUUUUGUGGAAUUACAUGUAAGUAAUGGAGCAUUAUGUGAAAACAAGCCCAAUGUUACUAAUUUUUAGGUUGUAAUCUUAAAUAAGCUUUAUUAUAUAAAGCUUGAUGUUAGUCAAUGAAAAGUAUCAUGAGUUAAUUAUUUGGCAACAUAAAAGUUGUAAUUGGGAGUUUAUUGGUUUCUCGAAUAACUAGUAUUUAUUUGGAGAUUUGGGUUUCUUCAAAUUAAUCCCAUUUGUCAUCUAAUUUUUUCUGUUUCAUUUGAUUUCUCCUUAUAAACAGUAGCAUUCGUAUCAUUCCACCCCAAAUGGGGUGAAUUUUGAAUAAUUUUUGGAGAAUGAGGUGGGGAAUUAGAGAAAAAUAAUCUCCAAAUUCUUAAUAAUAUGGGGUUUGAUUUUGUACUUCCCACUCCACAGUCCACACCCACUCCAGUCCCCAUUACAUAUAAAUAUUUUUUAAUUUUUAUUUAAUAAAUUUUUUAUCAAUUACAAUGUCAAUUAAUAAUUUUUUUUAUUUUCACUUGAUAUAAAUGAGUUAUGACUAAAAGAAAACCCUAUAAUAUAAUUUUUAUUCAACCCUAAAACAUUGUUAUAUUUUCUUUUCUAUCUUAAAAUACCACUCUCUUCAAACAUUUUUCAAUUUUGAUAUUAUUUUAAGAUAUUGUUUCAGACAUUUGGAGAUUUUUUUAAAUAAUUUGAAUACUUCAUAAUAUAGUAAUGAUUUUAUUGAACUCUUUAAUUUUUAAUUUAUUGAAAUCAUAUAUCUAUAUCUACUAUAAAAUAAAAAUAAAUGGGGAAUGAGGAGGGAUGGGGAUGGGGAUGAGGAAAUCAUUUCUCAUGUGGGGAUUCCUUAUACCCACCCCACUAAAUUCAUUGAGAAAUGAAGUGGGAAUUAGAGGCAAAAUUUUUAACACGGUGGGGAAUGGGAUAGCCUUCCUACCCCCACCCCACCCCAUUGCCAUCUCUAGUUGUUAGAUGGUGGAUAAUUUUACAUAAAUUAAUUGUAUUAAACUUAUUAUCCGAAUAAAAUUGUUUUAAAUAAAAUUUUAAUAAAUGAAAUUUUGGAAAUAUGUAAUAUUAUUUUUAAUAAUAGUGAUACACAAACUCGUCAAAAUUAAUUUGUCAAUCAUCUGUAAAUUUUACCAACUCUAUAGUUCAAUUAACAUUUUUCUAAACCUCAUUUUAUAUUUAUCGCUUUUGAAGAUUAAAAUAUCAUGAUUUAUUAUGUCCAUAUAAGUAAUUUGAUAACCUCAUUUCAGUAUAUCAGAAUAUCAAGAUUUAUUAGGUCUUUACUUGCGCUUUUGGCUGCAAGAGCCUUCGCCAAUUGAUCAUUUUAUGGGGUUUGACAUAGCCACAAAAUUAAGAUAAAGGUUCAAAGACAGUAUUACAGGUUCAUCCACCAUAAAACAAAUGAUAUUUUGAAAAGAAAAUUAAGACCCUAUUAGUUAAUUUGUCUCGUAAUUAAUUAUUGUCGACAAGCCAUCACAAACUUUCUUCAAUUAUUCCUACUUUUCUAAAAAAAUCUUUAAUGAUAAAAUUAUUUGCACUCUAAAAAUUAUUCUUUAACAUUAUUUUAAUAAAUUAUUUUAUGAGUGAUGAUACAGCCACAAACUCUUGUACAAACUUAUUUCGUACAAACUGAUGUGGCAUCAAUUCAUUGGUUGAAUGAAAAUACAAAAUAAUGAAAAUAAAUCAUGUGGGCCAAGAGAUAUUUAAUUUAACCAAUUUUAUCAUGCCACAUCAGUUUGUACAAAAUAAGUUUGUACAAGAAUUUGUGGCUAUAUCAUUACUCUUAUUUUAUUACAAAAAUACUCAUCAUAUGAAUUAUUGACAAGGAUUCUCUCUUAUAGGCUAAUAUAAUAUAAUUAUUCUGAAUACUCAUAUGGCAUACUCACUAUUCAAUAUAUAAUUUCUCUUGUCAUAAAUCCUAAAAAUCUUAUUUUCAAUCUCUUGAAUAAUGUUUAAUUAAACAAGGAGCAAAUCAAUACUAAAAAUACAUUUUGAACAUAUUUUUGCUUGUUAAUUUUUUUUAAAAAGUAGUUUUUUUAAAUAAGCAUUUAAUUCAGAAGAUGCAUGCUUGGAGUUAUGAUUUUGGAUGUAGAGAAGAUUUGAUCGGAAACGAGAAAUGGCGGCAGCAAGCUUAUUGAAUCGUCGUUCUGCGAAGAAGAGUUUGCUUUUUGCUGUUUCUAGUGGAAUGUCACUUAAUAAUCAAAACAGGCUUCUUCUUCUUUCUUUUUUAAAACCUAUAGCUUUAUGGUUUAUGCUUAGUAACAAAAAAAGAGUCAAAUAUCAGUGGUCUCUAUAACUAACAGUGAGCAAGAUUCGAUUUUGAAAAAUCUUGUACCAAUUUGCUUUUGUGCUAUUUUAUAUUCAAUUGACGAAAGAAUUAAUGCUGUAACUGCUACCCUUGUGUCGAUGACUACAUUAAUAAUGCCCCCAAAUUAAAGCCCACAUAAAAUUAAAUAGUAUACUCUAGCAAAUUAAAUUAAGUCAUAUUGUAAGGUAUCAAGAAUUAAAUAUUCUAUUAGCAAAGUCAAAACGUGAAAUCUAUCCAAACCAAGCCCACCGGUUUGUCCAUGAAAAUUAAUUAUUUCUUCAUUAUUAUCGAAUUAAUAUCUUCACUUGAUAACAUGGUUUACGAGGUAGGUCGCACAUUAAUUAUAUGAUUACUUCAUAGUUAUCCAAUAUCUUCGUACACCUUUUAUGACUAACCUAUUGGUCUAUCCAAAUUAAUAGUCACUUAAUUUAUUGUGGUCCAAUAUCAUCACUUGAUAAGAUUAAAGCAUAUAUACCCACAGCCCCCUAUAUGCCUCUUAAUUAUAUAUCAUGACUUUGUCCAGCAAGAGAGAAAGAGAGAAAGGGUAGGACUCUUUUCGAGCUUUUACAAAUCUACGGUAGAAUAAGAUGAUUUAAGUAAAAAUAAUUUAAAAAAAAAAAACCAAAUACCAAAAUUAACUUUCAAAAUUUUAAAAUUAUUUUCUGCCAUCUCAAAAACAGUGUCAAAUGAAACCUUUUAUCCAACUAAAAAAAAAUAGUGAAAAGUAGUGGGAAUUUUAUUAACCGCACAAAUCAUAAGUCAAAAAAUAUGAACAAAAUAGUUUGUUCUUCGGAACUCUAAUAAAUUGGAGGCAUGUGCUGCCCGAAACCAAAUGAUGCAUCAAGAUUUGUUCUUUGAAAAAUAAAUUAAUUUGUUAGUAGAUAGUUGCGUGUUUUACUUUCAAAAAAGGCUAAAAUAAUUUCAGGCCUUGGAUGCAUCUAACGGCUGAAAUCAUAAUAUCAAGAUUUAUUCUUAAGUCUUUGUUUGAUAUCAAGAUUUUUGAUUCAACCGCACAAUUAAGUUAAAGUUUCGUAUGCAGACUAUUAGGGAUUCAUCCAGGUAUGCAACAAACAGAUGAAAUGAUAUUUUGAAAAGAAAAUUAAUUUGUCUUGUAAUUAAUUAUUGCCGGCAAACUUUAUCUCAAAUCGCACACUUCUUUUCAAAUAUUAUCUACUUUUCUAGACUCUACGAUUACUGUCUACAUUUUUCAAUGAAUUAUUGCUCGGUAACUAGUUUUUUUACAAUCAUUUUUUUCGCGGACCAGAUCGUGUUUCGCACUAAUUGCAAUCAUUUAACCAUAUAUGGCCGUUAAUCGUACCCAGCCAUUGCGCGAAAAAACAUCAGCCGUUGAUCGUUUAUCUGUACAAUUUUUUAAUAUUUAUAAUAUUUUACUUAUAAAUCAUGAUUUUCCUUAAAGUUGUGGAUUCCUCCACUGAAUAGAAAUGGUUGUGAUUUAUUUGUCAAUUCAAAAGUUCCAACAGUAUUUCAAUGUUGUGCAUUUUCAGCUAAUUAGUCAAAGAUAAUCUAGUGCAUCUUCAGAAUUUUUAUCCCUAAAUUUACCAUUACACAUUAUUUCAACAACCUAUCUACUUUAGGGUAUCAAGCUCUUGUAGAAAUAAAUGACCAAUCACCAAGUUUCAAAACCAUGGUGUGGACAUAUGUUAAGCAAUUCUUUAAACCCAUCCCAACAUUGGUAUAAUGUUUCUCCAUUUUUUUUAGUGAAAUAAGUGAUUUGCCUUUUAAAAGAAUUGGUUCUAUGAGGUGGAAAGAAUUUUUUCAAAAAUUAUUCUUACAUGUUAUUCGAAGUUCUUAUUGAUUCAGAUCUAAAGUUUUAUAGCCAAGUUUUAGCUUUAUUUUUUAAUGAAAAAAGAAAAAGUUUCAACCUAACUAUGUUCAUGCUACAAUUUUGGUUUAUAUAUGUAUUACAAACUUCCUCAAAGAUGCAAGUAUGGAUUCUCAGAUUCUAAACCAUGAAAUGUUGGUAAAAGUUGGAUAAUACAUGGUUUAAAGUUGAAUCGAGAAGCCUCUGGAGGUAGGGGUGGCAAAUAUACCCGCCCAGUCUGGAUCCGGACCGUACUCGGGCGUUUUGGGCAUCACUUGAUAAACCCAGAACCCGGAUUUUAUUUCAAAAAAUUAUUAGAAAAUAUAUAUUAUUUUAAAUAUUUAUAUUUAUUUGACUCAUUUAUUACACAUAUAUAAAGUUUUAAACACUUAAAGUUCAUAAUUUCAUGUCAAAUUUUAUUAAAAAUAAAUUUAAAACUUAUAAAAUUACCAAAAAAAUACACAUAUAAUAUUAAAAAAAUAUAAAAUUCGGGUACCCGGAUUAAAGCCCAGCACAACCCGGCCCGGGCAUCUAUGCAUCCGGGUCGGGUCCGGUCAUUGCGAUACCCGGACCCGGGCCAGGGUUUUGCCAACCCUAUCUGGAGGAAAUACUAUACAGCUCCGAUUCUAGUUGGAUUCAUGUAGUCUCUCAAGAUUCUUCGUCGAUUCUGAUCACGUCCAGGUUGAGACUGAUUGUCUCCCUGAUAAAUUUGAGGAUUAGGUUCGCCCAAAAGUUUUUCAUCUUGGAUUUCGUCCAUAAUUAGUGAUGGAGAUUGAGAUCUACGAAUUAACCUGCCACCUGAAGUUCGAGACCAAUGUGUCAUGAAAUGGUUAUAUCACAAAGGUAAUAUUCAAAUAAAUUAGUAACAAAAGAACUAAAUGAAAAUUGCACAAAACAAAAAUAAAAAUUAAAUAUGCAAAUAAUAAGAGGAUGAAUACCCCGAAAUCUGGGUUGUGACUUUUGAUCAUUGUCGCAGCAUGAAGUUUGUUGUGACCUCUAGUUCACAUGCACUCUGUUUUUGUAGUUGCCGCAUGUCAAUGUUAUUGUAGUUCCCUUUUUAGGCUAUAUCUUGUCUAGUUGUCUUUGUGCUCGAAAGUGUGAACUUAGUCAGCGUCGAUAAAUGGAGUGCUUUUGCAUGUUACUUUUUAAUGAAUGGUGGAAACAAUAAUUCAUAAGCAUCUUAGCAUAACAUUUUCGCUCAAUUAAUGCAUAUCAAUAGCGGUUUACUCAUGCUCUGUAUGUGACGCAUUUCUAGGAAGCUUAUAUAUGGAGUUCAUUCGUUUCUGAGGUAUGCUAGAUUUGCAUGGGAAAAAUGAUAAUUUUGACCUGUUUAUUGUCCCUCAAUAUGGGAGAAAUCCUGACCAUACUGGUUAGGUACAUGUAAUAUUUGUUUAUUGCCCUUUAAUAUGGGAGAAAUCCUGACCAUACUGGUUAGGUACAUGCAAUAUUAAUCUUUCGUUUUAUGUUUAAUUAAAUAAAAGGAUAGGUAAUGUUAUUACUUAUGAAUCAUGUCAGUGCCAUUUUGGUUCAGUUCAACUAUUAAUAUCUCUUAGAAUGUUAAAGAAAUUAUCACUGUUAGUGUCCAUGUACUUCGUCUUUUUUAAUAAAUAAAAUUAUCACGUGUCAAUGUGUUAUUUGUUUUGAUCUUUCAACAAAAUUCAGUUUAAUUAAUUAUGCCCUCUUUCAUCACGAAUGUGUGUGUGUAUAUAUUUGAAAAAACUAAAACAAUGAGGGGCACUAUAACUUUUUAUUUGCCAAACAUGGGAUUGUGUAAAAUUAAUACAAUGAGAGGCUUUAAUACAACAACCAAACAAGCUCUUAAGGGAAAAGGACACACACCCCCAUGCCUAAUAUUUAAUAAAGCGACAGAUAUAUUUGUUAAUUUAUAAAGUUUAUUAACUAAUAAAUGCCAAAUAUACUAAUUUUUAUUGUAGUAUAAGCCCAAGUUCAUGGUAGAGAAAACAGGCCUAGGCCCUUUGUAGGAUUGUCCAAGUUGGAACAGGUCGAACUUAAGACUUUUUUAACAAUUCAAUAAAAUAAAACAAUAGCUAAAAGGUAAAAACAACUUAAGUUAAAGAGGAUUUUAUUAAUUUUUUCUCUGUUCAACUAAUUAUACAACAAUAUUUAUUUAAAAAAAAUUGAAAUAGCCUCCAACAAAAAAAAUGAAUUUUACAAAAAUUUACAGCCUACAAAAUGUAGGUUCAAUUGUUCAACAUAGCAUUACUAUAACAAUAAUAAUAAUAAAAGACAUAAUUAGCAUCAGAUUCCAAAUCCAAUAAUCCAAUUUCCAUAAACACUAUCACACUAACAUUUUUUUUCUUUCUUAUUUUUCCAUUCCAUUUUUUUCAAACUUAAUUCGUAAAUUAAAUUUAAUUAUUUAAAGAAAGAAUACGUUUGAGAUUUGAUGCACAAAACAUAUAUAAAUUAUUCAUAAUUUCAAUAUUAGGAAAUAAAUGUUUAGGGGGAUUGAAUUGAUGUCCAAAAUUCAAAUGGCCUAAAUAUGACCCCUUUAUAUAUAUAUAUAUAUAUAUACAGUUAUAGAAUAAUUUUUCAAUGCUGAAUCAUUGACUAUAAAGUCAAGACAAGGUAAAAAAAAAAAAUCAACGUUAAUACAACGUAUAUUGUCGUAUAAUGUUUUGAAAAAUUCCUACAAAUAUAUGGAAACUGAAAAUGACCAUAUUAUUUCUGGCGAUUAAUGAUUCUUGUGGAGUAGAUCCCUGAUCUAUGAAAUGACUUACAUGAGCAUAUUCACCCUUUGGGAGUGGGAAACAAGUAAAAGUAUGUGUGCUAGAGGAGACAACAUUGGGGAGUUAAGUCUGUGCUUCUCGUAAUCAAUUUCCAUAUCUAAAGAAAAUGGAGUUUAUAAUCUUGCUUUUACUAACCUCGUUAACUACUUUGUGAACAAGUUUUUGAUAGACAAAUCUCAAACAUCCAGUGUUUGAUUUUAAGGCCUUUAAGUUUAUGUACUUUCCAUAUUAGGAUCAAUGUCAGAUCUUUAACAACUUUUUUAGAUUUGUAAGUACCUUGGUAUCUUUAGGCCUUCAAUUAUUAAUUUCAGCAAAAAGGUUGAGAAGGAGGAAUUUCUUGAAGAUACGGAGCUUUAUCGUGAUCCUACCACUACACUUCACUAGUAAUAUACUCUCUAAGAUUCUUUUAUUGACAUUGUUUGUUCAAUCCCUUCUUAACCUUCUAGGAUACGACUUUCCUCUUAUUAUACUAUUAAAACAUUUAAUCCUUGAUAUAAAAACAUUUUUAUAGGCCCGAAGUCAGUCCUACAUCAAAAUGCAGAUCUUCAGAAAUAAAUGUAAACCUCUGUUGUUUCAAAAAUUUAAUUCAUGUUAUUUUUCUUUUAAAUUUAUGGUGAUUUGCAGUUCAAGAGUAGUCGUUGGCAUUGUUAUGAUACUAUGAUAGCAGUGCAUGCAGCAAAAGAAAAACAAGUAGCCGGGUAACUAAGCUCCUUGAUUAGUUAUUUUAUUUUUUGUUUGCCUCUAGUCUAACUACAAUUGCCAAUUGUAUGCCCCAAAAUGGUUGCAAUGGUUACAUCUCGAGGGGAGACUUUCGUAGUGAACUUCAACAUUGAAUCCAUAAUCAGAUAGUUCGACUGUAAAGAUUUCCAGCAAAUCACCAUGAAAAUCCACCUUUAUUAAAAUCUUGGCAAAAUGGCCAUACUUUUUCUCUCUUAUUGCCUGAUGAAUUUGCAAAGAAAUGCCAACUUCUCUAGCCACCGUCAUCAGAAUUCUAGGAUGCCAGUACUCCACUCUGGGAUCAUAUGUUCUUAAGGACGUGACUGGAUAGUUGGCUCACAAAGGUUGAAAUUCCAUCACCAUUUGUAUAAGCGAAAGAACCCCUGAGGUAGUUUAUAAUAUUGGGGCAAGAGAAAACAUUUGGUGAAAACCAUCACCUAUAAACUCAGGAAUAUUCAUGUUGUAUUAUCAAGAAUCAAUAGCAUAAUUAUGCGGAAGCGUAUCUGAAUUCAUAACGCUUAAUUCCUCUCUAGAGUAGCGUGGUUGGCCUUUCAGAUCUACACGUUCUCCUAUAGAGUCCUUUAGUUCUCUCUACGCUCUCUCUCUAAUAAUGAGAUAUCAUAAAGAAUGGAAAGAAUACAUGUAACCUGAGGACCAUAACCACUUAUAUAGACAACUUAUUCCAGUUGUCACAUGAUAUUCAUAAUUCUGCCUAUCAUAGAAUUAGAAUAUUAUUGGGUCCUACACAUUAAGGCUCACACUAUAUUAGAUACAUUAAAGCUCAUAAUACCGAAAAUCUAAAUAGAUCACUUUUAAUUGAGCUUAACCUUAUACAACAGUCUGCAACACAUAAUUAUUCACAUAUAAGCCCAACGUUGGAUUAAGGAUCCAACAAUAUUGAAUUAAAAAAUCCAACAAUCUCCCACUUGGGCUAUAUGUGUAACCUUAUAAUUAUGUUUUGCAAAAAUAACCAUAUGAGCUCAACCUUACUGUCAUUAUAGAAAUAUAUAUAUAACUAAUCCGGUCCAUAAAUCAUACUAACGUAAGAUUACCCGUACCUCUAGCUUUUACACAAUAACUACAGAACAAUUAUAUUUCAACAUAAGUAUAAGAAAAGGUGCACGCAUAAGUACACAGAAUGGACUGUAGACCGUAAUAUCCGGAUUCAUAAGUACAAGAGGCAGAACUACAGAACAAUUAUAUUUCAACAUAGCAUCAUUAUCUAAGAAAAGGUGCACGCAUAAGCAUUAUACGAUGAAGCCUACUUGCUUAAUUUAUAAUGGAAGGAAAGCCAACCAUGAUGACUCGUCUGCCAUAAUGUUUAAUGUCAGAGAAAAAGAAAAAAUUAUUUUGCUAAUAUGCAUUCUUCUUAGUUCUAAGACUAUCUAUCAAGAAAAUUGACUUCAUUAAGAUCGUUGCCUUUCAAAGAAUUCAUCAACUGUACAAAAAGCAACUUCGAACAACCAUUAAAUGCUCUAUUGAAAAAUCAAUAUCAUAGGUCCGCACGUUUAAUAUUUUCAUUCCUGGCAACAGAGAAAAAGACUGCACCUCUCCCAGAGUCACGUCCUAAGAUAGUUGUCCAAAGCCAAUGCAGUUUCUACCACGUCUUAUGUCUCGACGAACAUGAGCUUAUACUGCAUUAUUUCCUGCAAGAAGAAGGCCAUCAGGUUUCCCUCCCAAGAAAACAUGAGCUUCUACUUAAAUGUGAAUUAAUUAUCAAGUUAUAACAGAGAAAAACAAAGAAAAGAUGCCAAAAUGUUUGAAGACAGACUGAUAAACUAAAAGGAGACGAGUGGCAAUUAUUUCAUCCAUGUACAAGUAACUGAGAAAAAAACAUACAAUCCCAUCAGGGACAACGGAGGCCAUCUCCACCAAGAGCUUUCCAUAAUUAAUUUAUAAACAUACAAUCUCAUCAGGCUUUAUGGCGAGUGAAGCUUCACGGCAGCUAAGCUGCAACCGAAAUGUCAAAUAAACAAAGAGAUCAAUGGAGAUUUUAGCAUAAAAAUUAACAGCUUGUGAAACAAAGAUGACAGCAUAACAAUAUGCACUAUUUUUACAUCAGAAGCCAUAGUAUUGCAUCAGCAGUGGAAGGCGACAACUAACUAAAGAAUGAUGAAACUCAUUUUUCAUAGCAAAAAUAAUGAUAUUGAAUCCAAGCACAAUAAAUAUUAUUAACUUCAGAUAAGCCAUCUAGCUAAAAUAGCAAAAUAAAUAUGUUAGCACUCUAAUAGCUCAAGAUACAGAGCUACCAAAGCACUGCCCAAGAUUUCUUGCUCACAAACUGCCUCAACUAUCAGCUUUAUGCCAGCUGAUAUACACUCCAGUUUACACAGAUUAAAAAGCCACGUGUAUAACGGCCUCAUAACAGAUUUGAUUCCCUUCUCACGUGCGUUUUCACGUGCUUUACUUAAACCAGCUUAAAACGAUCUUGGAUGAUGCCGUUUUAAACAGUAAGUUGAGCACAUGUUUAGCUCGUGACUUCUUGAGGCAUUUGAACCCAAUCUGAAACGCUUCCGUUUAACCCUUCAAGUUUUGUAUUCAGCAGAUUAAUCCACAAAAUCAAAUCUGGAAACCGAACGAAGGCCAUUCAAAUUUUUUCGGAAGACCUUAAAAUUGAACAUUCUGGAGGCAAAGGGAAGUAAAACACGUUCCAAAAUUUCGUACCUGUCUGUAAAACCUCCGUCAAAAUAUGAACAAAGUUUGCCCUGUAGCUUUUUCCAUCUUUUUUAUUUUUUACAAGACCAAAACUGGAUAACCGAGGGUCACCAUCCUGCGAUGAAAUGAAAAUUAAUUAAUGAACCUGUACAAUCAAAUGCAUAUGAACAUGCUGAAAAAUCAUAUGAAGCAGCCACAAGUUCCCUGACCUAUAUAUUUCUCCAGUAAUUAAAAUUAUUCUUAUAGAAGCAAUGAAAUGAUUAGCAGACUUUUACCUUUCAGUUUGCGUACAAGUCCCCUUACCCAUGUAGUCAUCCUCACUCUUUGCAUAAAUGUAUUGCAACUCCAGCAAUGACCCUAAUCUUGUAAGAACAGGAAUGUGUAGCAAUCGAUAGUCUGGUGAUUCACUGCCAGCUUAGCCAUUCUCAUUUCUCUGACCCUGUGGUUAUUUCUUAUGUUUAUGCUAGCUGCCUUAUGUCUAUUCGAGAGGAUCUAUGGGAUGCCGUAGUGACAUACUUUCAUAGCCAUGAUCGCCCUUGGAUUGUUGGUGGGGGACUUUAAUGUUGUUCAGUCUGUUUCGGAGAUUUCUGGUGGGCAUAACCAACCCUAGGGAGCUAUUGAUGCUUUCAACCUAACAUUGGUGGAUUGUGGGUUGGAGGAUGCUGGGUUCGUUGGUAGCCCAUAUACUUGGACUAAUGGACAUGCUUGGAGGCGGCUUGAUCAGGUGGUCUGUAAUGCUUGUUGGUCUGAUUUUUUCUCGUCGUUUCAGGUUACUCACCUGAACCGUACAGCUUCGGACUAUUCUCCUCUGCUCUUUUCCUGUGACAAGGGUGCGACUAAGGGACCUCCCAGAUUUAAAUUUUUGCAUACUUGGCUCAGACAUCCGGGUUUCUUUGAUGUUGUGACUCAGUCUUGGGAUUCUCCAGUGGUUGGUUUCGGGAUGCGGGCAUUCCAACAGAAGCUUGUCCGUCUGAAGAAUUGUUUGAAAGCUUGGAACAAGGAAGUGUUCGGCAAUGUCUUUUACAGAGUGAAAGAAGCUGAGAAGGACAUAGCUCGGAAGAAGAGGCAGUACGACCUUUCUGGUUCUGUGGAGGAUAGGGUUAUGUUUUCAGAGGCCAGGGCUCAUUUGCAGCAUGCCUUGUUGUGCGAGGAGAGUUUCUUGAGACAGCAGUUCAAUGUCCGAUGGGUCCGAGAGGGUGAUGCCAAUACCCGCUUUUUUCAUGCGAUAGUUCAUUUUUAUCAAUGUCCUUUUGAUCAGAAAUUCAUGAAGAUUUCAUCCAUUAGUUUUUUUGUGGCCCAUUUAGUAGUGGCUGCAUUCUGUUUGUUGAAAUGUCUUAGAGAAGCUUGCAAGUUGCAAUACUAACAAGCUUAAUGAGCUGGAGAUAAAGUGGCAGUGAGCUGGAGUUAAGCUGACAUGGAGCAUGAAUCAGCAUUGUCUUAAGAGCAAUCCAGAGUUAGUUAGAGAGAAAGUAAAAGCAGAGGAAGAAGACAAUGAUCAUGUGAUAUAUGUACAGUACAAUAGCAGUAGCCGUUAGAUCAAUUGAUUUACAACCAUUACACCAUAAGCUUGCUACCCCAGCUAUGCACUGAUGCAUUAAUAGAAAAGAAAGUGAAUGAAAAAGAUGUGCUGUGCUCAAUCAAUUAAUCCUUUUGCGUCUGCCACCAAAACUUAAGGUAGUUAGAAAUUUUUUAACUAGUCAAAAUACCAAUAUUUCCAAAAGCUUUAAGCUUAUGGGACAACCAGUUGCUCAACAUCGACCUUGAUAUCAGAACCAAUCCGGAUGAGGAGUCAGGUGUUCGAAUUCCAUCAUUCAAAAUUGCCUUAUAAUUCCCGCGCUUUCUUGGCAAGAAAAGGCAGUGGAGGCCUUUUAUUAACCAUAAGGGGUGGAUUAAUUGAUGGAUUAAAAUCUUUUGGCAGUCAUUAUUUUACUGGUUGGAAUUUCUUUAUGUUCUACUAUUAAUGAAUUUUCCUUGCCAUUUUUAAGUCUGUGAUAUAAGUGUUCAUAAUGGUGCGUUGUCGAUGUAGUUCUCUCCAGCGAAUCAUGUGUUGAUGCACAUAUUGAAAAAGAGGUAAAGAAUCUAAAUUUCCUGCUUCACAGUGUAGAUGAUAGAAUUUUUCAGUUUAAAACGUGAGGAGUUUUAGUUCACAUGCACUCUGUUUUCGUAGUAGUCUUAAGAUAUGUUGUCACUUGUCAGUGUUCUUGUAGUUCCCUUUUAAGACUACAUCUUGUCUAGUUGUCUUUGUACUCAAAAGUAUGUAGUUAGUGGCGAUAAAUGGAGUGCUUUUGUAUGUUACUUUUUAAUGAAUGAUGGAAAAAAUAAUUCAUAAGCAUCUUAGCAUAACAUUUUCACUCAAUUAAUGCAUAUCAACAACGGUUUACUGAUGCUCUAUAUGUGACUCAUUUCCAGGAAGCCUUUAUCAGGUAUGCUUAACUCAUUGAAAACUUAUUAUUUUUCAUGUUUGGGCCAUCACAACAUUGACAUUGUUGAUGCUGUUCGUGUCUUUCUCACUGUACAUAAGAAUGUAAACUCUUUUUGGAAGGUAUAAGAUCAAGAUUCUGUUUGAAAUCUUUACCAUCAGCUUGCUUUUCAUUUGGUGGAUACUACUAUCGAUAAUGUCAUUUUUGUCAUCACAAACAUAACGCCUACUCUUCAUCUGUACAAAUCACCAUAAAUUUAAAAGAAGAAUAGACAUUAAUAAAUUUUUGGAGCAACAAAAGUGUAUAUUAACUAAUCUUCAUAUUUUUAAUAAUAAAAAAUAAUUUUUGACCCUUAGCAGCUGCUUCAACUUGAAGUUGACCUUCCCAACAUUUCCAACUGACAUUUUGUCCAUCGAUUGUUACAUUCAUCCUCAAAGCAUGCACUGAAGAAGGGAGGCUCAUACUCCACUGGCUGCAAGCCUGCAACAAUUAAGCUCAGGGAUUAUUAAAAAAAAACCACAAUUAAUUAAUUCCAAAUACAAAUGUAGAAACUUAAUUAAGACAUCAGAUAUCAGUUCUAUAAGGGGGUAUCAUCACAUCAUCAUAGUAGAGCGGCUUCACUGAUACAUUACGCUGUAACAAAUUAGGAAUAAUAGAUAUCUCAUUAGUUGAUAAUAAUGUGCCAUAAAUAAUAUUCAAUCAUGUGAAAAUACUUGAAAAAUUAAUCUUCAAAGUGCAAACUGAGACUAUAGCGAGUAUCACUACAGGCAUUUCCAAACCCUUAUUAUAUCUCGGACGCUUUUGCAAUUUACUAAGCAAUUUAGCAGGUGAGGUGCUGAAUGUAUAGUACAGAUGUGACAAGUUAAAUAAAUACAGUCUACACAAAAAUAGAAAGAUAAAUGAAAUUUAAUUAUUGAUGUUGAUUAAAUUAAAUGAAACUGCAUAUAAAGGAAGACAUGUUCCAAUGUCUGUAUAAUCCUCUCAAUAAAUAUCUCAAGAGUAAGAACAUAAAAAAAAAAGAGAAAAUAGAUAUGAAAAUAAAGCCUUAAUUACAGGAAUAUUCUUCAAUCAAAGGCCCUUCAUUUUCAUAAAGAAUUUUCCACACCGAAAAAACGAACUACAUUGCAUGCCUACCGAAAAAUUAAAUAAAAAUUGUUUUUAAUUUCGAAUAGCGAGCCCAAAUUUUCUAUUUCCAGAAGAAAUCUUAUGCUGUUGAAAAGUUUCAUAUUAGGAAUCAUUUACUGCUAGUGUCAGUGAAGUCUCCUUAGUGAUCUGCGGUUUCUUCACUCGUGAUCUACCAGACUUGAAACGAUAAUCAUAUAAUGAGAUAAGUAUUAACUGUUAAUUGAACUGUAGAAUCUCAAAAAUGAGUAAACGGAUUACAAAUUAAUUAUGACGAGUUUGUGUAUCCCUUGGAUUAAAAUAUCAAGAUUUAUUAGGUCUAUAUAAUUAAUUUGAUAUUUUAAUAUCUUCAAUUUGGUAUAUCAGAAUAUUAAGAUUUAUUGGGUCUUUAUCAAGAGCCGUCGCCAAUUGAUCAUUUCAUGGGGUUUGAUACAGCCACAGAACUAAGAUAAAAUUUCAUAGGUAGACUAUUACGGUUACUCCACCAUAAAACAAACGAUAUUUUGAAAAGAAAAUUAAGACUCUGGUAGUUAAUUUGCCUCGUAAUUAAUUAUUGCGGACAAACCAUCACAAAAAUUUUUCAAUUAUUAUUUACUUUUCCAUUUUCUUUAAGGGUGAGACUACUUACAUUUUAAAAAUUACUUUGAAUAUUUUUUAUUUUGAUAAAUUACUUUAUUACAAAAAUACUUAUCAUAUGAAUUACUAAUAAAGACUGUAUCUUUUAUAAACUAAUAUAAUAUUAUUACUCUGAACACUCAUAUAGCAUAGUCAAUAUUCAAUAUAUAAUUUCUUGCUAUAAAUUCUAAAAAUCUCAACCACAAUCUCUUAGAGAAUGUUUAAUUAAACAAGGGGCAAGUCAAUACUUAAAAUAUAUUUAGAACAUUUUUUGCUUUUUAUUUUUUUUUAAAAGUAUGUUUUCGUAGUCUUUUCCUUCUUCUUUUUUUUAGGGGGGGGGGGGGGGGGGGGAAGGGGACUAAAUGGCCCUUUUGUUAGGUUAAAAAGUUGGGGUGUGAAAAUCAAUAUUGUACAUAUUCUUUAAUAGACAAAAACUAAUAAUUAAAAUUUAUGUUAAAGAAUUUGUUUAGAACAAAAUUUGAUUCUAUUGUUGUACAUACUAAAUUGUUAUUAAUUCAUUUUGUACAAAUGCUCGUUUAGUCCCUAUAUUUUAACUUUAGUGCUUAUUUAAUACCUAUAUUUUAAAAAACGCCUCAAGAUACCUAUACUAUUAAAUAUGUUGUACUCUUUUCCUUACUUUUUCUUAGCUUUUACAAUAAUACCCAACAAUAUUUUUUACAUUAAUUGUUUAAUCUAUAAAAAAAGUUACUUAGCAAAUUAACUAAUAAUUAAACAUCAAUAUCAAACAAGCGGUACUUUUUAUACCCUUACAAGAAUCUUGCUGAUCAUUAUUUAUAAAUAAAUUAAUAAUAGCCAAUUUAAAGUAAUGUUUAAUAUCCUUUCAACAACAUUACCAAUAAUGUUUUGUUAAAAAAUUAAUUUACUAAAUUAAUCCUAAAUAUAAAAUAAUAGCAACUAAUUUUUAUUUUACUUUUAUGGCUAAUUUAAUAAAUUUAUUUUUUUCAUUAAUAUCUUUAAGAAUAUUGUUGCAAAGAUAUUAUUAUAAAAGUGAAGAACAAGCUCAAUUAAAAUAAAUAAUGCAAGCUAGUACUAAAUACCUAUUAUAAUUUUAGAAUAGUUUAUUAAAAUAAAAAGGGAAAAGGACAUCUACACAUGCAUUAUUUAUUAUGCAUUACUAAAUACCUAUUUAUUAUACUGUUAAACUUGAGCCGUUCAUCCGUUAUCUAUACAUGCAUUAUUUAUUAUGGUACCUCAGCAUCAUUUUAUCUCCAAGUGCAAAUGCUGAAAAUUAAUUAAGAGGUAAGUAAGGCAUCAGUUAAAUUUGCACCCUACUACCCUGUACUUUUUAUCAAUCAAUACACCUGGUGAGUCCCUAAAAUUUGCACCCUAACAACAACAGCUAGCCACAAUUAGUCAUGAACACCAAAAAGUCCGCGCAGGAUGUGUAAAAUGGACAUGUCUAUGACAUCAUUUUUAUAACUAUAAAAGUAAUAAAAUAUUCUCCUAAAUAUAUUAACCAAUGCGAUUUUGAUUAUUAAAAAAUAUAAUUUCAUUAAAAAUUCAUCGGUCUUACUAAAAUAUGUAAGAAACACGUAAAGUAAUGCACAUAACUUUUUUUUAUUUUUUUAAAGGAGGGGUGCAACAUGAGGACUUCUCAAGAGGUCACUCAUCUUAGUACUGUUCUCGCCCAAGCAUGCUUAACUGCAGAGUUCUGAUGGGAUCCCGUGCAUUAGUGAUGGUAUGGUCGCACCCAAGCAAUGGACAUAACCUUAAUUUUUCAAAUGUUCUUCAUUUUUUUUUAAUCCUUUUGGAUAUCGUGAGAUCUUUAAUAAGGUGGGAAUCAGAGGGGGCCAAGUUCGUUUGGACAGUCCUUCAAAAUAUACUUUUAACUAGUCAAGAAAAAGAUUAGGAGUUGUAAUAUUAACGAAAUUUUAGUAUUGAUAAAUAUGUACGACAGAUUAUUAAUACUAAAUUGAACUUAAAAUGUAUUUAUUAUUACUUUGAUUUUAUUAUAAUUCUAUUUAUUAUAAAACAAUAAACUGAAAUCAAUUUUUGUUCAGAGUCCAACAAUAAAAUAAUCGAAAGGGCCAUUUCCGAGACUAUUUUUUAAACAUUAAGGUCUAUGUCCAUAAUUAAAUAAAUUAUGGAAUAUAAAUAUCCUUUUCCUUCAUAAUUACCGCCAAAUUACUCCCAAUCUCCACGCGCAUUAAAUUUGGUUGGUAUGCUUUGAUCGUCGGUUCGUCUUCAUGUUUACAAUUAUUUACUUUUUGGACCACGUUUGGCACAUGCCGAAAUUGAAUCUUAGCCCUUAAUCUUACCGACUAAUUGUACGAUAAAACUUGAACCGUUGAUGCCUUAUCUAUACUUUGCAACGUCACAAUCACCCCCGUUUGGCACAUGCCGAAAUUGAAUCUUAGCCCUUAAUCUUGCCGGCUAAUUGUACUAGAGAACUUGAACCGUUGAUGCCUUAUCUAUACUCUGCAACGUCACAACUACCCACUUUGGCACCGUAGGCGACUUGAUCUCUAUAUAUCAUGCCAAAUCAGAAGCAAGAACUCGCUCAAGUACUUAUUUUUUAAUAUAGUGCACUCGAAGCUAGCAAAGAUCUUUUCUGACUUGAAGAAUAUGAAAACUCUUGCUGGCGCAGGUAUUUAGGCCUACUUCAGUUUCUUUUUUGAGAAGGGCCAACUUCAGUUGAAUAUCAUUUAUAAUUCUUUUUUUAAUAUAUGCAUUUAUGAAUAUAUUUUUCAAUAUAAAAUUUUUAGGUAUGAGCGAUCCGUCAGAAGGUUUGGUACUCCCUUCCAGUAUUGCUGAUGAUGAUGUUGGAAAUGACAAUCUUGAUCUUAUUGUUAUUCCUCAAUAUGGGAGAAAUCCUGAUUAUUAUGGGUAAGUGUCUGCAAUCUGGAUGAUGAUAUAUGUAAUUAAAUAAAAGGAUGGGUACAGUUAUUACCUAUCAAUCAUAAGAGUGUCAAUUUAGUUCAGUUCACUAAUAAAAAUCUCUUAUACAAGAGAUUAUCUUUGUUUGCGUUCAUGUACUUUGUCUUCUUUAAUUAAUAAAUAAAAUUAUUGUGUAUCAAUGUGUUGAUUAAAUUAGUACAUUAAUAGAUAUAAAAUCAUUUGAAUUUGUCCACA